GGUUAAAACGCUCGUAGUUGGAUAUCUGUGAGCGGGUUCCGGUCCUUCCCAGUGAAGAUUACACGGAACUCUGCUCGCAUUUGUUCAGGGAGGGUGGAUGCACUUCACUGUGUGACCACAUGAUCUGAAUUUUUACUUUGAGGAAAUGAGAGUGUUCCAAGCAGGCAAUUGCCGUGAAUAUGAUAGCAUGGAAUAAUAGCACAGGACUCUUGGUUCAAUGCUGUUGGUUUGUUGAACUAGAGUAAUCACAAUAAGGAUAGUUGGGGGUAUUCGUAUUUAACUGUCAGAGGUGAAAUUCUUGGAUUUUUUAAAGACGAACAAUUGCGAAGGCAUCUACCCAGGAUGUUUUUGUUGAUCAAGAACGAAAGUUAGGGGAUCGAAGACGAUCAGAUACCGUCCUAGUCUUAACCUUAAACUAUGCCGGCUGGAGAUUGGAGUCGUCAGAUUUGUGACGUCUUCAGCAUCCUAUGAGAAAUCUAAGUCUUUGGGUUCCGGGGGGAGUAUGGUCGCAAGGCUGAAACUUAAAGGAAUUGACGGAAGGGCACCACCAGGAGUGGAGCCUGCGGCUUAAUUUGACUCAACACGGGAAAACUCACCAGGUCCAGACAUAGAUAGGAUUGACAGACUGAUAGCUCUUUCUUAAUCCUAUGGGUGGUGGUGCAUGGCCGU
Molecule: ribosomal RNA, 669 nt
Filed under: uncultured marine eukaryote
Lineage: Eukaryota
Description: SSU rRNA
Rfam family: Eukaryotic small subunit ribosomal RNA
Source: RNAcentral